RNAcentral lists this transfer RNA (73 nucleotides) under Perca fluviatilis (European perch). It matches the Rfam family "tRNA". From Rfam's summary of the family: Transfer RNA (tRNA) molecules are approximately 80 nucleotides in length. Their secondary structure includes four short double-helical elements and three loops (D, anti-codon, and T loops). The record is from Rfam by way of RNAcentral. Lineage: Eukaryota; Metazoa; Chordata; Actinopteri; Perciformes; Percidae.
GGCACUGUAGCUUAGAGGUUAAAGCGCCUGUCUCGUAAACAGGAGAGCCUGGGUUCAAAUCCCAGCAGUGCCU